This is a long non-coding RNA of Xiphophorus maculatus (southern platyfish), 3984 nucleotides long. RefSeq lists it as uncharacterized. NCBI's taxonomy places the organism in Eukaryota, Metazoa, Chordata, Actinopteri, Cyprinodontiformes, Poeciliidae. The record is from RefSeq and is a predicted model, not a curated record. The transcript is spliced from 5 exons.
ACAGGCCAUUCUAUCUCCAUGCAUCAGAUAAGGACUUUGCAUUGAGAUCCAUUCAUUUCCAAAGUCUGACCCUGACCCUUACCCUAAGCCUAACUAUUACUAGUACAUGUCUAACCACUGCUAGUCUAUUCCUAACCCUAACCUUAACCAAACAGAAGGGCUUGACUUUCCACAAAUGACCUCAGUUUGUGGAUGAAAUGGUCCUCUAAAUGCAGUAAUACAAGUGCACACACACACAGAGCAAGAAAGUUAUUUUCUGAAUAGAUUUUACUCAUUGCAUUUUCAAGGACUGAAGAGGCAAAAGAGGAGUCAAUCAGUGAAAAAGAUGAAAUGCUGAAGUCUGUGUUUUGUACUCAAAAACUGAGUUUGAAGAGAAACUUCCAGCGUAAAGGAGACGAUUGUGUUCAAAAUCACAGCUGUGCUUAAAAAGGAAUACAACUGAAAAUCCUGGUUGUUUUCAUUUCUAUAUGCAUUGGAAACUGCACAAUUUCUUCCAAGUCAAGACAUACAGAAAAUAUAUCAGUUUAUUCUAUUGCUAAGCGGUUGUGACAAAAUUUGAUCAAUAUGACAAGUCUGACACUGUGACGUCACAUUGUUUUCCUUAUAAUUCAAAAAUACUUUAUUGAUCCCAAAGGAAAAUUAAAUGUUGCUAUUAAUUCAGGUUCUUCAAAGUGUUCUUGUAGACUGGGAUGACUGUUGGCAGUAAAGAUCUCUUGUAGUGGCCCACAUUACAGCGAAUCUGAGUUGUUUACAAGCAGCAUGAAUCGCCUUGAAACAGUUGCUGGGCAACAUUCAACCAUGGCAACCAUUUCCUAGAUUUUUUGGGCUUAGUUCUGUUCCCUCUGCCUUUCUCAGUUUUUAUGCUCAGUAGUCCCACCCAGAUGAUCCACGUCUGUGCUGGCAGUAAUUCUUCCCAGCCAGCAGGUGGUGGUGUUUUCAUGUUAAGUUUGUUAUUGAACAGUAGAAUCAGUUCAGAAACACAUGUAUAAUGGCUGACAGAGGCAGUUUAUCAGUCUUAAUUUAAUCAUUCUUCAUCCUGUUUUGUUGUUUAGAGAAAGCACUGCUUUUUCACUCUUUCGGCAAUUGAAAGCAACGUCAAUUAAAGGGACAUACGCCUGACAAUCGUCUGAGAGUUUAUCUAUCUGCACAACUGUUACUUGGAAACACAGUGGGGGCAGAACAACGUCCCUCAGACUCACCGGGUUUUUGGAAAAUCAUUCCCUCUGCUUUUGGAUGGUGGGGAGCUGGGAAGAUUUCUAUUAAUAUGUUUUUACAUUUGGAAAGUUGUUAUGAUGGAUAACUAUUGCAACAAAGAAUUUUUUUUCCAAGGAUUUGGACAACAGACUGGACUGGAGAUGCAACAGUGAAGCCGUCUGUUAGAAGGGACAGAGCAGACUGUACAUCUUCAGGAAGCUAAAAUACUGAAGGACCCACACAAUUAAAAAACUGUGAAUCAUCUGCUGCAGUUGUUGGAGGUCCUCAGUUGUUAGUGACAAUAGUAAUGGAGAGCCUGCAACACACAGCCGCAGGAGCAGCAUUCAGGAAGGAUCUUUGAAGAUAACGAGCUACUACUCCUGCUCAUUAUCUUCAAAGGACAAGCAGAUCUAAAGAUCCAGACUGUGUUUUACUAAAUGAACGCGCCGGUGGGGAGUUCUUCAGAUGAACGAUCAGUCCAGCCGCUGCAGUCCUCUUUCACUCUGCACUGAGUCCAACAAACCAAACCCUUUGAUCAACCUGUUCUCCUCUUCACCUGUGGUGGCACUGCACCAGGAACCACUGAAGGAAGCAACACAAAAGCCUCUGAAGAAGACACAACUUCCUUCGUCAUGAAAUGUUACAAAAAUGGAGUGGUGUAAAUCUUUAGCAGUUGCAGGAUUUCUCUGUUUACGUUUUCAAAAGACCACGAGCCAUUUCUAAAGCGAGACCUAGACACAAAUGUCUGUUUUGUCUGCAUUUACCCAGAAUGCCCUGUAUUGUAGGGACGGUCUAAGGUCUGCUUGGCAUUCACAUGUGCAUUCGAAUGACACCAGAGUUCACUUGAAGUGAACCCAGAGCGAGGUUUUUAGGCUGUUUUCUACAUUAGAGUUUCUUUACACAUUCACACCUCCACAGAUGAACCAGGAAACAAACUGGAGUUUGAUUAAAGCGGGCUAAACAUGGCUGGUGUGAGUGCACCAUUAGGCACCUACAUGUGCUAGCAACUAGCAGGAAAAAAGUUUUGUCUUGGCAGGAAUCUGACCCCAGCUGUUCAUUCAGCACACCUCACAGCCGCAGCAGGCACUGGCCGAUUUAAAAAUGUGUGUUUGCUCCUUCAUUGCUGGUGUAGAUCUGCCAUUUACCAUCGCUCCUCCACUCAUAGGUUUAUGCAAGACCUUAACGCCCUCACACAUCUGUUUUGAGGCUGCAUGCUAGCUAUGUAAUCACACAUGGUAUCUCACCAGAGUUAAAGAAAAGCUUAUCCAAAAAGCUAAAUCGGGACAUGUUUUCACUCAACAUCAAUAAUAGUAAGAAUGACAGUUCAUGAAGAGGAUACAGGCUGCAUCGCCUCAGCAUUGAUGCUGGACAUAAAAGCUGACCUGCUGUCAUAUGUAAAAACUGACACUGUUUGGGAAACAGAUGUUACAGAAACCCAAAGACGCUUCAUGACAACAGUGACGACCAUUAAGACUGUCAUUAGUGUUCAUGUCAUGUUCAUGUCGCCCUUCAAAUAAAGUGCUACCAUCGUUUGGUCAUUUUUUGUCACUGGUCAAUGGAAAGCUAAUUUCUUCUGGCAACUUUACAGCUUUAGUAACUUUUAUUGUGAACACAGUAAGAGCAAUAGGCAGGCAGUGAAUUGACUUGUUAUUCAUAGGGAUGGAUUACUGAGCAAGCCUACCAGGCUCAGGGACCUAAGAGCUCCAGGGGCCCUAAAGCCUGGGGCUCUGCCCAAAGUACUAUGUACUGUAACAUAAACUCAUAUUGGGUUUGUCUGUUGUCCAUUUGUAUCCACAAAGUUCACCAGAAUCCAUCAGUUAAGGUCUGUUUUCCCAAAACGUUCUCCCAGAGAAAACUCGUAGAUCUCCCCCUUGACAAUAAUGUCUGGAUGACGAAGGUUACACACAAAGAAUGUUUUAUACAUCUGCACCCAGAAGCCCACAAGACCAUAAACCGCCCAUGGAUUAAAAGGCUUAUUUUUAUAUAAUAUGCGUUAAAAGUGUAUCACAUAUAGCAUCCCCUGCCCGCCUACAGGGCAGAGAAAAAAGUUCAGACUCAGGAUAUUUUUCCACUAUCAUCCCUGUUUUCAUGCUUCAGGCAUUCAUUGAGGUCGUAUAAUUUUCUGGGGUCUGUUCUGACAGCAGCUCUUUAUUUAUUUCCUGAAUGUAUCCUUAAACUAUCCAUCGUUGUGUCUCCAUCUCAGAAGAUUAAACAAUGAGAAAAUGUUUUUUACAGCUGGUCACCUAAACAACUCGGGUGAUGAGAAUAAGUCUGACUAUGAGCGACAGGACCCUGUCUGAUCAGCCUUUGUUUUGUUUUUGUCCAAAUGAUGAUUUGUUUUCUCUGAAAAUAUUCUGUGCUUCCUUAACCUCCUCAUAGCUAGACUGCAUGUUUUACCAAAGUGCCCCUCCUGUUGACCGUCCUGCUUUAUGGCGUUCAGCUUUGGCAUUCUCUGUUCAUUUGCUGACCUGGAAAUGUGUGAAAACAGAUGCAGAUAAGAUCUUUAGACCCAACAUCCCGUAUUCUGGAGAUUGGGAAGAUGGCAUUUCCAACAUUCAUGGGGCAAAAAAAAAGCUCGCUAAUAUUUUAGAGACUUUUGGUCUAACACAACAUGUCAAACAAGCAACACACACUCAAGGACACAUACAGGACCUGGUUAUCAGUAAGGGUGUGAAUAUUUCCAAUCUCUCUGUAACUGAUGUCGCAUUGUCGGAUCUCUUCGCUGUUAUUUUUGAAAGUUCUUUAUCUUUUAACCCACUUGGACAAACAGCAACCAUCACAAAACGUUCU